Talpa occidentalis (Iberian mole) is the source of this 141-nucleotide long non-coding RNA. RefSeq lists it as uncharacterized. The transcript is spliced from 3 exons. The record is from RefSeq and is a predicted model, not a curated record. Lineage: Eukaryota; Metazoa; Chordata; Mammalia; Eulipotyphla; Talpidae.
CUUCAGUUUUUGAAAGAAGUGGACCUUCCAUGGUCAAGAAUGUUUUAAUAACUGAAAAGAAUAAUUCUGAUGUAGAUGAUAAGGAAGUUCAGGAAAAUCCAGAUGACUCAAGAGUAAAAGGAUCUCAAGUAACAUCAGAAA